ACUGGUGGCACCGUGUGGCUGCCAGGAAGAACCAGGAAAGGGCCCCCCUGGAUCCCCCGGCCCCCCCAGAGGAGGGGGAGGUGCUGUACACCCACGUCGUGGUCACCAAGAGGGCAGGGGCGUCCCCCCGUGCCACCACCCUCCAGGAUCCCCAGGUGACCUACGCGGAGCUGCGGGGACCCCAGGGGCGACCACGGGAACCCGGUGACAUCUACGGGAAUGUGCUGUGACA
This is a non-coding RNA of Agelaius phoeniceus (red-winged blackbird), 232 nucleotides long. Lineage: Eukaryota; Metazoa; Chordata; Aves; Passeriformes; Icteridae. The record is from RefSeq and is a predicted model, not a curated record.